RNAcentral lists this ribosomal RNA (439 nucleotides) under uncultured Flavobacteriaceae bacterium. RNAcentral describes it as "bacterial SSU rRNA". It matches the Rfam family "Bacterial small subunit ribosomal RNA", at positions 471 to 916 of the family's 1533-position model. The record is from RNAcentral. Lineage: Bacteria; Pseudomonadati; Bacteroidota; Flavobacteriia; Flavobacteriales; Flavobacteriaceae.
GACGGUACUGUAAGAAUAAUCACCGGCUAACUCCGUGCCAGCACCCGCGGUAAUACGGAGGGUGCAAGCGUUAUCCGGAAUCAUUGGGUUUAAAGGGUCCGCAGGCGGUCAAUUAAGUCAGAGGUGAAAUCCCAUAGCUUAACUAUGGAACUGCCUUUGAUACUGGUUGACUUGAGUUAUACGGAAGUAGAUAGAAUAAGUAGUGUAGCGGUGAAAUGCAUAGAUAUUACUUAGAAUACCGAUUGCGAAGGCAGUCUACUACGUAUAUACUGACGCUCAUGGACGAAAGCGUGGGGAGCGAACAGGAUUAGAUACCCUGGUAGUCCACGCCGUAAACGAUGGACACUAGUUGUUGGAAUUAUUCAGUGACUAAGCGAAAGUGAUAAGUGUCCCACCUGGGGAGUACGAUCGCAAGAUUGAAACUCAAAGGAAUUGACGG